UGAGGAAUAUUGGUCAAUGGGCGCAAGCCUGAACCAGCCAUCCCGCGUGCAGGAAGACGGCGCUAUGCGUUGUAAACUGCUUUUCCAGGGGGAGAAACUUGCGCACGUGUUGCGCAAUUGACGGUACCCUGGGAAUAAGCAUCGGCUAACUCCGUGCCAGCAGCCGCGGUAAUACGGAGGAUGCGAGCGUUAUCCGGAUUCAUUGGGUUUAAAGGGUGCGUAGGCGGACUAUUAAGUCAGUGGUGAAAUCCUGCAGCUUAACUGCAGAACUGCCAUUGAUACUGAUAGCCUUGAGUUUGGUUAAGGUAGGCGGAAUGUGUAAUGUAGCGGUGAAAUGCUUAGAUAUUACACAGAACACCAAUUGCGUAGGCAGCUUACUGAGCCGACACUGACGCUGAGGCACGAAAGCGUGGGG
RNAcentral lists this ribosomal RNA (415 nucleotides) under uncultured bacterium. Its description in RNAcentral is "bacterial SSU rRNA". It matches the Rfam family "Bacterial small subunit ribosomal RNA", at positions 355 to 766 of the family's 1533-position model. The record is from RNAcentral.